GACGAACGCUGGCGGCGUGCUUAACACAUGCAAGUCGAACGGAAAGGCCCUGCUUUUGUGGGGUGCUCGAGUGGCGAACGGGUGAGUAACACGUGAGUAACCUGCCCUUGACUUUGGGAUAACUUCAGGAAACUGGGGCUAAUACCGGAUAGGAGCUCCUGCUGCAUGGUGGGGGUUGGAAAGUUUCGGCGGUUGGGGAUGGACUCGCGGCUUAUCAGCUUGUUGGUGGGGUAGUGGCUUACCAAGGCUUUGACGGGUAGCCGGCCUGAGCGGGUGACCGGCGACAUUGGGACUGAGAUACGGCGCAGACUCGUACGGGGGGCAGCAGUGGGGAAUAUUGCACAAUGGGCGGAAGCCUGAUGCAGCAGCGCCGCGUGCGGGAUGACGGCCUUCGGGUUGUAAACCGCUUUCGCCUGUGACGAAGCGUGAGUGACGGUAAUGGGUAAAGAAGCAUCGGCUAACUACGUG
RNAcentral lists this ribosomal RNA (468 nucleotides) under uncultured bacterium. RNAcentral's name for it is "partial 16S ribosomal RNA". It matches the Rfam family "Bacterial small subunit ribosomal RNA", at positions 28 to 507 of the family's 1533-position model. The record is from RNAcentral.